GAUGAACGCUGGCGGCGUGCUUAACACAUGCAAGUCGAACGGAAAGGCCCUUGCUUGCAGGGGUACUCGAGUGGCGAACGGGUGAGUAACACGUGGGUGAUCUGCCCUGCACUUCGGGAUAAGCCUGGGAAACUGGGUCUAAUACCGGAUAGGACCAUCGUUUAGUGUCGGUGGUGGAAAGUUUUUUCGGUGUGGGAUGAGCUCGCGGCCUAUCAGCUUGUUGGUGGGGUAAUGGCCUACCAAGGCGUCGACGGGUAGCCGGCCUGAGAGGGUGUACGGCCACAUUGGGACUGAGAUACGGCCCAGACUCCUACGGGGGGCAGCAGUGGGGAAUAUUGCACAAUGGGCGCAAGCCUGAUGCAGCGACGCCGCGUGGGGGAUGACGGCCUUCGGGUUGUAAACUCCUUUCGUCAGGGACGAAGCGAAAGUGACGGUACCUGGAUAAGAAGCACCGGCUAACUACGUG
Molecule: ribosomal RNA, 466 nt
Filed under: uncultured bacterium
Lineage: Bacteria
Description: partial 16S ribosomal RNA
Rfam family: Bacterial small subunit ribosomal RNA
Source: RNAcentral